GCAUUUGUGGUUCAGUGGUAGAAUUCUCACCUUCCAUGCAGGAGACCUAGGUUCCAUUCCCAGCCAAUGGA
This 71-nucleotide transfer RNA is filed under the name Loxodonta africana (African savanna elephant). It matches the Rfam family "tRNA". Rfam says of the family: Transfer RNA (tRNA) molecules are approximately 80 nucleotides in length. Their secondary structure includes four short double-helical elements and three loops (D, anti-codon, and T loops). Lineage: Eukaryota; Metazoa; Chordata; Mammalia; Proboscidea; Elephantidae. The record is from Rfam by way of RNAcentral.